UCGGGCGUGGUGUAUGGUACACAUCGGGUGCUCUUGAAAAGGCGGGAGACAAUUAGCUCGCGGUACGGGGUUCGACUCCCCGCGUCCGAA
This is a non-coding RNA of Mycena leptocephala, 90 nucleotides long. NCBI's taxonomy places the organism in Eukaryota, Fungi, Basidiomycota, Agaricomycetes, Agaricales, Mycenaceae. The record is from the annotation of a GenBank genome assembly.